Molecule: non-coding RNA, 251 nt
Organism: Podarcis lilfordi (Lilford's wall lizard)
Lineage: Eukaryota; Metazoa; Chordata; Lepidosauria; Squamata; Lacertidae
Source: the annotation of a GenBank genome assembly
GGCAGAUGAAAAUGAUGGACUACAUGGAAUUGGCGGAAAUGACUGGCAGAAUCCGUGACCAGGGAGAAGAGUCGGUGGAAGAAGAUUGGAAGAAAUUCAAAGAUUACUUACAGAAAUAUUGCAAAAUUAAUGAAUGUUAGAGUGAUGUUGAAUUGAAAUUAAGUGGCUUCUAGCUGUACAGGCUUUAAAGUUAUAAAUAUAUCAAGAUUAAGGAUUAGGAUUAAAAAGGUUAAAAGAAUGGAAAAAUUGGU